This 253-nucleotide ribosomal RNA is filed under the name uncultured bacterium. RNAcentral describes it as "partial 16S ribosomal RNA". It matches the Rfam family "Bacterial small subunit ribosomal RNA", at positions 524 to 776 of the family's 1533-position model. The record is from RNAcentral.
UACGGAGGGGGCAAGCGUUGUUCGGAAUUACUGGGCGUAAAGGGCGCGCAGGCGGCUGCUCAAGUCAGGCGUGAAAGGCCUGGGCUCAACCCGGGAAUUGCGCUUGAAACCGGAUGGCUCGAGUCAACUAGAGGUGCACGGAACUUCCAGUGGAGCGGUGAAAUGUGUUGAUAUUGGAAGGAACACCGGAGGCGAAAGCGGUGCACUGGGGUUGGUCUGACGCUGAGGCACGAAAGCCAGGGGAGCGAACGGG